This 254-nucleotide ribosomal RNA is filed under the name uncultured bacterium. RNAcentral describes it as "partial 16S ribosomal RNA". It matches the Rfam family "Bacterial small subunit ribosomal RNA", at positions 524 to 776 of the family's 1533-position model. The record is from RNAcentral.
UACGUAGGGUGCGAGCGUUGUCCGGAAUUAUUGGGCGUAAAGAGCUUGUAGGUGGUUUGUCGCGUCUGCUGUGAAAAUCCGAGGCUCAACCUCGGACUUGCAGUGGGUACGGGCAGACUAGAGUGUGGUAGGGGAGACUGGAAUUCCUGGUGUAGCGGUGGAAUGACGCAGAUAUCAGGAGGAACACCGAUGGCGAAGGCAGGUCUCUGGCCAUUACUGACACUGAGAAGCGGAAAGCAUGGGGAGCGAACAGG